This 396-nucleotide ribosomal RNA is filed under the name uncultured bacterium. RNAcentral's name for it is "bacterial SSU rRNA". It matches the Rfam family "Bacterial small subunit ribosomal RNA", at positions 28 to 429 of the family's 1533-position model. The record is from RNAcentral.
GACGAACGCUGGCGGCGUGCUUAACACAUGCAAGUCGAGCGGUAAGGCCCUUUCGGGGGUACACGAGCGGCGAACGGGUGAGUAACACGUGGGUGACCUGCCCUCAGCUCUGGGAUAAGCCUGGGAAACCGGGUCUAAUACUGGAUAUGACUCCAUGACGCAUGUUGUGGGGUGGAAAGCCUUGUGCGGCUGAGGAUGGGCCCGCGGCCUAUCAGCUUGUUGGUGGGGUGAGGGCCUACCAAGGCGACGACGGGUAGCCGGCCUGAGAGGGCGACCGGCCACACUGGGACUGAGACACGGCCCAGACUCCUACGGGAGGCAGCAGUGGGGAAUCUUGCGCAAUGGGCGAAAGCCUGACGCAGCGACGCCGCGUGAGGGAUGACGGCCUGGUGUAAC